RNAcentral lists this ribosomal RNA (722 nucleotides) under Staphylococcus arlettae. RNAcentral's name for it is "partial 23S ribosomal RNA". It matches the Rfam family "Bacterial large subunit ribosomal RNA", at positions 2180 to 2903 of the family's 2925-position model. Lineage: Bacteria; Bacillati; Bacillota; Bacilli; Caryophanales; Staphylococcaceae. The record is from RNAcentral.
GUGGAGGCGUUGGUGGGAUACUACCCUCGCUGUGUUGGAUUUCUAACCCGCACCAUUGAUCAUGGUGGGAGACAGUGUCAGAUGGACAGUUUGACUGGGGCGGUCGCCUCCUAAAGAGUAACGGAGGCGCUCAAAGGUUCCCUCAGAAUGGUUGGAAAUCAUUCACAGAGUGUAAAGGCAUAAGGGAGCUUGACUGCGAGACUUACAAGUCGAGCAGGGUCGAAAGACGGACUUAGUGAUCCGGUGGUUCCGCAUGGAAGGGCCAUCGCUCAACGGAUAAAAGCUACCCCGGGGAUAACAGGCUUAUCUCCCCCAAGAGUUCACAUCGACGGGGAGGUUUGGCACCUCGAUGUCGGCUCAUCGCAUCCUGGGGCUGUAGUCGGUCCCAAGGGUUGGGCUGUUCGCCCAUUAAAGCGGUACGCGAGCUGGGUUCAGAACGUCGUGAGACAGUUCGGUCCCUAUCCGUCGUGGGCGUAGGAAAUUUGAGAGGAGCUGUCCUUAGUACGAGAGGACCGGGAUGGACAUACCUCUGGUGUACCAGUUGUCGUGCCAACGGCAUCGCUGGGUAGCUAUGUAUGGACGGGAUAAGUGCUGAAAGCAUCUAAGCAUGAAGCCCCCCUCAAGAUGAGAUUUCCCAACUUCGGUUAUAAGAUCCCUCAAAGAUGAUGAGGUUAAUAGGUUCGAGGUGGAAGCAUAGUGAUAUGUGGAGCUGACGAAUACUA